AUUGAACGCUGGCGGCAUGCCUUACACAUGCAAGUCGAGCGGCAGCGCGGGGGCAACCCUGGCGGCGAGCGGCGAACGGGUGAGUAAUACAUCGGAACGUGUCCAGUUGUGGGGGAUAACCAGUCGAAAGACUGGCUAAUACCGCAUACGAUCUACGGAUGAAAGCGGGGGAUCGCAAGACCUCGCGCUAUUGGAGCGGCCGAUGUCCGAUUAGCAGUUGGCGGGGUAAAAGCCCACCAAGGCGACGAUCGGUAGCUGGUCUGAGAGGAUGAUCAGCCACACUGGAACUGAGACACGGUCCAGACUCCUACGGGAGGCAGCAGUGGGGAAUUUUGGACAAUGGGGCAACCCUGAUCCAGCCAUGCCGCGUGAGUGAAGAAGG
Molecule: ribosomal RNA, 382 nt
Filed under: uncultured bacterium
Lineage: Bacteria
Description: bacterial SSU rRNA
Rfam family: Bacterial small subunit ribosomal RNA
Source: RNAcentral